Molecule: ribosomal RNA, 598 nt
Filed under: Fusarium sp. zzz1327
Lineage: Eukaryota; Fungi; Ascomycota; Sordariomycetes; Hypocreales; Nectriaceae
Description: eukaryotic LSU rRNA
Rfam family: 5.8S ribosomal RNA (bases 218-371)
Source: RNAcentral
UCUUGGUCAUUUAGAGGAAGUAAAAGUCGUAACAAGGUCUCCGUUGGUGAACCAGCGGAGGGAUCAUUACCGAGUUUACAACUCCCAAACCCCUGUGAACAUACCAAUUGUUGCCUCGGCGGAUCAGCCCGCUCCCGGUAAAACGGGACGGCCCGCCAGAGGACCCCUAAACUCUGUUUCUAUAUGUAACUUCUGAGUAAAACCAUAAAUAAAUCAAAACUUUCAACAACGGAUCUCUUGGUUCUGGCAUCGAUGAAGAACGCAGCAAAAUGCGAUAAGUAAUGUGAAUUGCAGAAUUCAGUGAAUCAUCGAAUCUUUGAACGCACAUUGCGCCCGCCAGUAUUCUGGCGGGCAUGCCUGUUCGAGCGUCAUUUCAACCCUCAAGCCCUCGGGUUUGGUGUUGGGGAUCGGCGAGCCCUUGCGGCAAGCCGGCCCCGAAAUCUAGUGGCGGUCUCGCUGCAGCUUCCAUUGCGUAGUAGUAAAACCCUCGCAACUGGUACGCGGCGCGGCCAAGCCGUUAAACCCCCAACUUCUGAAUGUUGACCUCGGAUCAGGUAGGAAUACCCGCUGAACUUAAGCAUAUCAAUAAGCGGAGGAA